RNAcentral lists this ribosomal RNA (253 nucleotides) under uncultured bacterium. RNAcentral's name for it is "partial 16S ribosomal RNA". It matches the Rfam family "Bacterial small subunit ribosomal RNA", at positions 524 to 776 of the family's 1533-position model. The record is from RNAcentral.
UACGUAGGGGGCCAGCGUUGUCCGAAGUUACUGGGCGUAAAGAGCGCGUAGGCGGAUCUUUAAGUGAGAGGUGAAAUUCUGAGGCUCAACCUCGGAACUGCCUUUCAUACUGGGGACCUUGAGUGCGGGAGAGGCGAGUGGAAUGGUCGGUGUAGCGGUGAAAUGCGUAGAUAUCGAUCGGAACACCCAUGGCGAAGGCAGCUCGCUGGCCUGCAACUGACGCUGAGGCGCGAAAGCCGGGGGAGCAAACAGG